Molecule: ribosomal RNA, 403 nt
Filed under: bacterium
Lineage: Bacteria
Description: partial 16S ribosomal RNA
Rfam family: Bacterial small subunit ribosomal RNA
Source: RNAcentral
UGGGGAAUCUUGCACAAUGGGGGAAACCCUGAUGCAGCGACGCCGCGUGAGCGAUGAAGGUUUUCGAAUCGUAAAGCUCUGUCCUAUGGGAAGAUAAUGACGGUACCAUAGGAGGAAGCCCCGGCUAACUUAGUGCCAGCAGCAGCGGUAAUACGUAGGGGGCGAGCGUUGUCCGGAAUUACUGGGCGUAAAGGGUGCGCAGGCGGCAUGACAAGUCCGAUGUAAAAGGCGAAAGAUCAACUUUCGUAAGCAUCUGAAACUGUCAAGCUUGAGUGAAUGAGAGGAAAGUGGAAUUCCUAGUGUAGCAGUGGAAUGCGUAGAUAUUAGGAGGAAUACCGGUGGCGAAGGCGACUUGCUGGAAUUCAACUGACGCUGAGGAACGAAAGCGUGGGUAGCAAACAGG